RNAcentral lists this transfer RNA (61 nucleotides) under Heterocephalus glaber (naked mole-rat). It matches the Rfam family "tRNA", at positions 6 to 65 of the family's 71-position model. Rfam says of the family: Transfer RNA (tRNA) molecules are approximately 80 nucleotides in length. Their secondary structure includes four short double-helical elements and three loops (D, anti-codon, and T loops). Further hydrogen bonds mediate the characteristic L-shaped molecular structure. tRNAs have two regions of fundamental functional importance: the anti-codon, which is responsible for specific mRNA codon recognition, and the 3' end, to which the tRNAs corresponding amino acid is attached (by aminoacyl-tRNA synthetases). tRNAs cope with the degeneracy of the genetic code in two manners: having more than one tRNA (with a specific anti-codon) for a particular amino acid; and 'wobble' base-pairing, i.e. permitting non-standard base-pairing at the 3rd anti-codon position. Lineage: Eukaryota; Metazoa; Chordata; Mammalia; Rodentia; Bathyergidae. The record is from Rfam by way of RNAcentral.
UAUGGCUCAGUGCUAGAGUGCUUGCCUGGCAUGCACGAGGCCCUGGGUUCGAUCCCUAGUA